AAGUCCUUCUUCACAAUGUUGUACCAGUCUCUUUCCAGGCUGAUUAUAUAUUACUCUCUCUUACUUAAUCUGCAGCUCACCCAAACUGGUCUUCCUUCAGUCUUUUCUAUGAAACAUCUUCACCCCUGUGCCUACACCUGGAAUACACUCACUCCUCUACUCUGCCAUUGGGCAUUUCUAGCCUCCUCCAAAGCUUUGCUCAGGAUGGAAGUGCCUCUCCAUUGCUUCAGAGUUCUACCUCAGCUUCCAGAACUGCCAAGAUUCUCUUCCCCCUCCUCCACUGCUCCUCUGGCUGAUCUGUCCAUCAGACCGGCUUCUCAUCCCAACAGCAGGGUCCCUCUUCCUUAUGUUAAAUUUAAUUGUGGUUGAAUGUUGGAGGCUAUCAUACCCUGACCAUUUGACAAGGUCAUGGUCUGAGGAAGGAAGGUCAGCAAAGCAGACCCCAGAAUGAGGGCCCCCUGUUAAUCCCACUUUGUAACUUAUUUCCCCAAAUUUUCCCCACUAGUGGACUUUUUAUGAUUAUUAUUCUCUCCCCAAUACAGGAGAAAUAACAUGAGAGCAAAUACUUAGAGGAUCAAUAAAUAUAUACCCUACUUUAAACCCCCUAUGUUA
Monodelphis domestica (gray short-tailed opossum) is the source of this 612-nucleotide long non-coding RNA. Lineage: Eukaryota; Metazoa; Chordata; Mammalia; Didelphimorphia; Didelphidae. The record is from Ensembl.